ACACAUGCAAGUCGAGCGGUAAGGCCCUUUCGGGGGUACACGAGCGGCGAACGGGUGAGUAACACGUGGGUGACCUGCCCUCCACUCUGGGAUAAGCCCGGGAAACUGGGUCUAAUACCGGAUAGGACCACUGAUCGCAUGGUUGGUGGUGGAAAGUUUUUUCGGUGGGGGAUGGGCCCGCGGCCUAUCAGCUUGUUGGUGGGGUGAUGGCCUACCAAGGCGGUGACGGGUAGCCGGCCUGAGAGGGCGACCGGCCACACUGGGACUGAGACACGGCCCAGACUCCUACGGGAGGCAGCAGUGGGGAAUAUUGCGCAAUGGGCGGAAGCCUGACGCAGCGACGCCGCGUGGGGGAUGACGGCCUUCGGGUUGUAAACCUCUUUCGCCAGGGACGAAGAGCAAUUGACGGUACCUGGAGAAGAAGCACCGGCCAACUACGUGCCAGCAGCCGCGGUAACACGUAGGGUGCGAGCGUUGUCCGGAAUUAUUGGGCGUAAAGAGCUCGUAGGCGGUGUGUCGCGUCGGCCGUGAAAACUUGGGGCUUAACUCUGAGCGUGCGGUCGAUACGGGCAUCACUUGAGUUCGGCAGGGGAGACUGGAAUUCCUGGUGUAGCGGUGAAAUGCGCAGAUAUCAGGAGGAACACCGGUGGCGAAGGCGGGUCUCUGGGCCGAUACUGACGCUGAGGAGCGAAAGCGUGGGGAGCGAACAGGAUUAGAUACCCUGGUAGUCCACGCCGUAAACGUUGGGCGCUAGGUGUGGGGACCAUUCCACGGUUUCUGUGCCGCAGCUAACGCAUUAAGCGCCCCGCCUGGGGGAGUACGGCCGCAAGGCUAAAACUCAAAGGAAUUGACGGGGGGCCCGCACAAGCGGCGGAGCAUGUGGAUUAAUUCGAUGCAACGCGAAGAAACCUUACCUGGGUUUGACAUGCACCAGACAUCCCUAGAGAUAGGGCUUCCCUUGUGGUUGGUGUGCAGGUGGUGCAUGGCUGUCGUCAGCUCGUGUCGUGAGAUGUUGGGUUAAGUCCCGCAACGAGCGCAACCCUUGUUCCAUGUUGCCAGCACGUAAUGGUGGGGACUCAUGGGAGACUGCCGGGGUCAACUCGGAGGAAGGUGGGGAUGACGUCAAGUCAUCAUGCCCCUUAUGUCCAGGGCUUCACACAUGCUACAAUGGCUCAUACAGAGGGCUGCGAGACCGUGAGGUGGAGCGAAUCCCUUAAAGUGAGUCUCAGUUCGGAUCGGGGUCUGCAACUCGACCCCGUGAAGUUGGAGUCGCUAGUAAUCGCAGAUCAGCAACGCUGCGGUGAAUACGUUCCCGGGCCUUGUACACACCGCCCGUCACGUCACGAAAGUUGGUAACACCCGAAGCCGGCGGCCCAACCCUUGUGGAGGGAGCUGUCGAAGGUGGGACUGGCGAUUGGGACGAAGUCGUAACAAAGUAGCC
RNAcentral lists this ribosomal RNA (1441 nucleotides) under Pseudonocardia sp. HBUC20201. RNAcentral describes it as "16S ribosomal RNA". It matches the Rfam family "Bacterial small subunit ribosomal RNA". Lineage: Bacteria; Bacillati; Actinomycetota; Actinomycetes; Pseudonocardiales; Pseudonocardiaceae. The record is from RNAcentral.